GCCCCCGUUGUCUAAUGGUUAUGAUAUCAGACUUCUAUGUAAUCUGAAGGUUGCGGGUUCGAGUCCCGCCGGGGGUU
Molecule: non-coding RNA, 77 nt
Organism: Rhodocollybia butyracea
Lineage: Eukaryota; Fungi; Basidiomycota; Agaricomycetes; Agaricales; Omphalotaceae
Source: the annotation of a GenBank genome assembly